CUGGCUCAGGACGAACGCUGGCGGCGUGCUUAACACAUGCAAGUCGAACGGGGAUAUGCGAGCGGAAGGCUGGCCGAAGGUGCAUAUCGAGUGGCGGACGGGUGAGUAACGCGUGAACAAUCUGUCCCAGACAGGGGGAUAACACUUGGAAACAGGUGCUAAUACCGCAUGAGACCACGGAGUCGCAUGGCACUGGGGUAAAAGGAGCAAUCCGGUUUGGGGUGAGUUCGCGUCCGAUUAGCCAGUUGGUGAGGUAACGGCCCACCAAAGCGACGAUCGGUAGCCGACCUGAGAGGGUGAUCGGCCACAUUGGGACUGAGAGACGGUCCAAACUCCUACGGGAGGCAGCAGUGGGGAAUAUUGGGCAAUGGGCGAAAGCCUGACCCAGCAACGCCGCGUGAGUGAAGAAGGCCUUCGGGUUGUAAAGCUCUGUUAUAGGGGACGAAGAGCGUGACGGUACCCUAUAAGGAAGCCCCGGCUAACUACGUGCCAGCCGCAGC
RNAcentral lists this ribosomal RNA (500 nucleotides) under uncultured bacterium. RNAcentral's name for it is "bacterial SSU rRNA". It matches the Rfam family "Bacterial small subunit ribosomal RNA", at positions 19 to 518 of the family's 1533-position model. The record is from RNAcentral.